GGCGGCGGGGGGAAGAUGGCGGCGCCCGUCCUGCUGAGAGUGUCGGUGCCGCGGUGGGAGCGAGUGGCCCGGUAUGCAGUGUGCGCCGCCGGGAUCCUGCUCUCCAUCUACGCCUACCACGUGGAGCGGGAGAAGGAGCGGGACCCCGAGCACCGGGCCCUGUGCGACCUGGGGCCCUGGGUCAAGUGCUCCGCCGCCCUCGCCUCCAGAUGGGGUCGAGGAUUUGGUCUUCUGGGUUCCAUCUUUGGAAAGGAUGGUGUAUUAAACCAGCCAAACAGUGUCUUUGGACUUAUAUUUUAUAUACUACAGUUAUUGCUUGGCAUGACAGCAAGUGCAGUUGCAGCUUUAAUCCUCAUGACGUCCUCCAUUGUGUCUGUAGUAGGCUCUUUGUACCUGGCCUACAUUCUGUACUUUGUGCUGAAGGAAUUUUGCAUCAUCUGUGUCAUCACAUACGUGCUGAACUUCAUUCUUCUAAUCAUCAACUACAAACGACUAGUUUACUUGAACGAGGCCUGGAAACGGCAACUGCAGCCCAAGCAGGACUGACAACCUGACAAACUCUUAACUGACAGUCUAAGUCCCUUUUCCAUUAAGUUUAUUUUGCAGCAGUUUUUGUUUUUUUUUUUUUAAUUCAAAACAGACACUUACCCUAAGUAUCUUAAACUGAUUUUUAAAAUCCUGUAAAUUAGAAGGGGCCCUAGCUAUUUUCUCUGUCAAUCUUCAUUUUAAAUAUGGACACAAAAAAGAUAAAGAGGAUACACCGAGCCAAUCAAAGACAAGCUUUAACUUUACUUUGAGGAUAUUUCUGAAAUAAUAAAAUGUAGCCCCAGCCCCCUGCCCUCAAUUGUAAAGUGAGCAACCAAUGCUAGUAAUUCUCUAAUGUGUAUAAAUUAAAUUUCAGGUAUAACAAAUGUGAUCAUGACAUGAAAAUAUUUUAGAAUAGAUACUGUAUUAAAUAUUGCCAUGUUUACAAUAUGUAAUAUGUUUUUAGCCAAUGGAUUUAAAUAUGUAGAUUCAACUAGAACCCACUUAUGUGAUAUUUGUAAAUAAAGGUAGAAAUAUUGGAUCCAUCCCUGCAGAACUUAACUGUACAGUGUAGGUGAAGUGUAGCAAUGAAGAAUUGUCAGCUCAACACUGACUGAAGAAAUAGUGAAAAUAGUAAGUCCAUACAGAGCAUCUUGUGCAAAGUACUGACAGCUGUGGGUCCAGCAUUGACGGCAAAAAUAAUGGGGUGGUUGGUUCUCUUUCAUCUCCUUCCUCUGAAAGGAAGAAACUAAAUUUGGACAUUCAAGUCAAGCUUGUGCCUAGUCAUAAAACUGGAUCAAUUAUAACCUUACAGAAUGAGUCCACGUGACCAGACCUUCAAGUCCAAGGCCUUCAGAACACUAAAGAUGGGAAAAUGAGAUUUCUUUGCAGAAAAGUUGGAAAUAUUAAUGGCAUUUUUAAGAAAAGUCUCUUACAAUUUAAAUUUCAUGCAGAUAUUUUUCCAUGAUAUUGGUGCCAGUCAACCAGACAGUAUUAUGACUUUGAAAUAACCAGUGUAAGCCCAUUUGCUCCAGAGUAGGAUUUCUCUUUGGGUAGCUCUGUAGUGUUUUCCAUGUUUCUUUCUGCACUAACUAAUCGAAUGUCUAGUUUGUUUUAGGGUGAAACAUUGACUUUGUAAACUUUAGGGCUAAAAUGCUGCUCAGUUUGCCUAAUUGGGAGUAAUACUAUAGGCAGAACUAUCUGAAGAUGAAAUUCAGCAAAUGUUGUCACUACUCUUUCUAAAAACUACAUAAACGCAGAAUUUUUAAAGGUGAUUUGAAUAAACCCAAAUGAAGUUGUGACAGUAUGUUUCUGUGGUUAACAUCUUAUAUCAGAAUGUUAAAAGUGCCUUCUGUCUUAAAUCUCAAACCAAAUAUUUUGUGUGUUGAACUUGGGCAGAAGUGUCCUUCCUUCCUUUCUUACCACAAGUAGAAAACUUGCAUUCUGCAGAAAGGUUCUAUAUGAUCAUUUUAUUCCUUAGAUUGAGAAGUAGUAGCAAUGUCUUGCUUACAAUUCGAUUAAUCAUUAUGUUAAAAAUAGACCGGUAACUUCUGAGUGUUUUAUUUGCUUUCUUUUUGAAGGGAGGGGACAGGCUCUGCUCUGUAAAUCAUAAUGUGUCCAGUCAGCAACUAUUCAGCAGUUUUCAACUGUCAUAAUUGAUGCAAUGUAUUCUUCUGGCACCCAGGCAGGUUUAAAGUCUGAAUUGUAAUGAACUUUUAACCAGUUUUGUAAAAGAUAGCUUAAUUCAGAUUUCGUCAAGGUUUGUUUUCCCAUGAAUGUGAAUAUUUCAAUGCCUGUUUUAUUUUGUAUGUAUUGUUCUUGUUUCUAUAGUUAAAGUACUUUUGGAAGCUUUGAUUAGAUGUCUGGUGUUUAUGGAGAAACAAUGAAGUCAUCUUGUAGCAUUGCUUCUAGUUCUACCAAGCAGUUUACUGCUUCUCUUUUCUAAGAUAGAGUGGAAAUGGCUUAACGGCUAAGACUUCUGUGGUAUAUGUAAUACACCGGUUGUGCUAAACAAGUUCCUUGUGUCCUAAUUUAGAACGGUUUUUUCAUCUUUUAUAUCAGCCGCAGAGUAUAGUUAAAGCUUGUCUUGAUGUUGCAGUGACUUAAACUUUUACAUGAGAAGAUGUAAAAGACCUUCAAGUUUUUCCUUUGCUUUCCAAGCCUUGCGGAAAACACUAGUUUCAGUUGUAUAAAAAAAUUUUGUCACAUUCCUGUGACCCCAGAAUUCAUAACCUUUUUCUCACUGAGCAGUGAACUUGUGCUGCCUGAAAUAACAGCAUCGUAAUGCCACUAUCUUAGUAAGCGACAGAACCCCAGUGGGUGUUAUUUGGUAUUUUUGCUCUGGAAGAUUUUAAGAUUCCCUCUGCAUCAUCCAUUCCAUCCCAGAAGAGGGAGAAAAAAGAUGUUAUAAAAUUUGAAUAACUUAUUUUAGAUUGAACAUUUAAACAACACAUAACUUGCCACCAAAAUUGAACUGUUUAAGGGAAAAAAUGAAUUUGUUUUUAGUGGUAGUUACAUGCUUCUUGUUUUUGAAAUAAUUUGUAACAAAAUGAAACCUCCUUUACUUGAUAGUCAUAAAUGUCAUUUGAAGAAAUGGGUUGUGGUUAGUUGAUAAAUCCUAGAGAAUCUAGGUGGUUUUAGAAGUUUUAUUUGGUUUUUUUAUUGCAGCUAGUUGUCAGUGAGGUUGGACUUCUGGUGAAAUAACUCAGGUUUAACUAGCUGUGUGCCAGGAAUUACUUUUAUUUGAUGUGUGAAGCCUUUCCUUGUAUCCAUUACUUUUAAAGAAUGUUGAACUCAUUGACUGUUUUCAUACAAACAUACAAAGAUCUGAAACUUGGAACAGAAGAUCUUUGGGCCUACUAAGUAGGACAUAGGACCAAGACUACAGUUAAAACUAUUUAUUGGCUUGUAUUUCAUUGACAUUUAGUUUUAACAUGACCAGCAAAAUAUGCAAGGUUACCUUCAGCAGUUACUUCAUAUCUUAGAUUGGUGCCACUCUGUGAAACCAGUGAACGCUGACAGGAGCUCUUGUCUUGAAAAUCAGUAUUAGAUAAACGCCAACAAGAAACCACUGUCACAUUUGGUGGCUGACUUGGGCAGGAGUACCUAAUGUGCAACCUUUGUCCUCAUCUAUUUUCCCCCAACACACACACAUUGGUGAAACAUUUUUAUUUAGAUAUUUUAGGCAGCACUUACGAUUACUAAUUUCUGAGAACUACCCUUCAAUAAAACAAAAGGGGCAGGGGUGGGAGUCCAGGCUACUUUGUUCAACCUUUUUCACAAAUGAGCCCAGAAAAGGUGAAAUGUUUUGUUAUAAAACUGUGUUAGGCAUGACCUAAGUAUUAGGUGUAUGAUCUGUAUAGUAUGUUCCAUCAAAAAUAUUUAUUAUUAGUGCUUUAAGCUCCAGAGUAAACAUUCAUUCAAAAUGGAGUUCACUGGGCAGAUUUCCCCUUUAAUAUAGAUAGAGAUAUUCUUUAUCAGAGAUUUAGGACACAGUUUUGCUAACUGGUAAAAACAAAUGUAAAUAUGUAAGAAUGUUUAUUUGUUGCACAUAACUUUUUUGGUAUAAAAUAAAUGUAGAAGUUACCUGUGGAAGUUGUGCUGCCAUCAUUCUUAUUCUACAGUUUUACAUUUCAAAAAAGAGGACCUCAUUUCUGCAAGUAUACUGACUUGAUUCCUUUUAUCUUUAGUUUUAUGUAACGUGUGGAAGACACAAGCAGAAUCCAUAGAGAUUCUAGUUCUUAGAACUGGUGUGAGUUUGAGGAUGUCAAGAAUUAAUGAAAAAGGUGUUACUGCUCACAGGAUUGGAAGCACACAGAAUGUAUAUAAAUCAGCUGUUUUUCCCAUACAGUCUUUGAAAAAGAAAAGGUUGGCCUGGUUUGGAUGUGACCACGAUGGCCCUAGAGCUGUAGAGCUACUCCUCUGGGUGCACAUGGUCUGUGAGCAGCAACUCUGCGUGUGAUGUGAGUAUUGAAACACGAUUCGCGAGUCCUUGUGCAGGUAAGACUAUGAAAACAGCCAAUACAAAAAUAAUCACAGAUGCUUUUCAAGAAUACCGAUCAAUCAAUCAAUGGAUGGUCACUUUUAAAUCAACUCUUUAUUUCCAUACUACAAAUGCUAUUAUUUUCACCUCAGUGUUACCGUUCUGCCAGAAGAUUACAAAGUCCAGACCAGAAACUUUCUGGUCUGCCACACACAAUCCAGGAAGCACUUGCUUUGUUUGCUGUGGAAUCACCCCUUACUUGGGAAGGAUGGGGAAGUAGUCUCUAUCCAGUACAGAUGGUUUUUGCUCUAAAAUGUAAACGGGUUAAAAAAAAUUAAAAAUUAAAAAAAUUAAAUGUAAACGGGUUGUUUUCCAAACACCGUGACUUGGCAGCUGACUGGUGGUACCUGGUUUCAUUGGCAAGUUUCCAGUAUCUCUCUCGCAAAAGGAAUGCUGCACUUUUCGGUUGUCUCUGACGAGUGAAGAUUCCCUUUUUAUUCCCCAAUACUCUUGUUGGUGCUAGAAACAAGGCAAAAGUGUUUCAGAUGACUUCUGGUGGGCCAAAAUGGAACCAACCUGGAGCCAAGCUGGGCACUAAAUAGAAAUGUCUUAUACAGUUUAGGCUUACUUGGGUGUAUGAAGUGAGCACUUAAUGGGUUAAAAUACUAUCACUCCCCAGAACACCUCAGCUCCCCAGUGUGUACAUUUUUUGAAUGGUAGAGGGAAAAAAGUCCAAAACUUUUACUUGUAAAAUAAGGUUUAAAACAUAGUGACCCCGGAAAGGCUUCAUCUUUCUGAAGAGACGACCCUCUUGUUGGAAACUAGAGUCCCUCCAGUCAUAGGUGCCCAGUGAGAUCUACUCUACCCUCCUGGUAGAGUCCCAGCAGGGUCCCCACCACUGCUGCCUGGUCUGCCAGACGCUGCAGCCAGGAGUGAGCAAAGCUGGCACGGCUGUGAGGGCUGCUCUCAGAGUACAUUCUCUCUCCCCCUAGAGAAACCAUGGAUGCUGCUCAUGGAAAGCAGAUCUUUUCUACCAAGAAGUUCAAGGCAAUGGUAUGAAGGGGAGACACUGGUGCUCGCUGGUUGCAAUCAGUUUGAUUAGGGAGGUGUUCUGUCCCCUGAACUCACCAGAUCAUCUCUCCAACUUGGCUCAGAUGCCAGCUUUGAUUUCUUCAGUCAGAAGGCACCUAUCCUUCCUGCUACGACAAGGAAAUUGAGGCUGAGAGAGGUGAAGUGACUUGCUCAAGGUAACACCCCCAAAG
Molecule: RNA transcript, 5769 nt
Organism: Talpa occidentalis (Iberian mole)
Lineage: Eukaryota; Metazoa; Chordata; Mammalia; Eulipotyphla; Talpidae
Gene: VKORC1L1
Gene name: vitamin K epoxide reductase complex subunit 1 like 1
Exons: 7
Source: RefSeq, a predicted model, not a curated record